UCUAACAUGAGCAAAGUCGAAUGUCUGAUUAUUUAGAGAUCGGAUGGAGGGAGAGGCCCUUGCAACGGCCCUUACGUAUCCCCACAGCCCUGUUAGGAACAGGAGGAGAACCUCAUCCUAACAUAAGCUGAAAUCGACUGCGUCGGAAACAGGAGGAGAACCUCAUCUUGACAUAAAUGAAGACCCGAUCGUUCAAGAUCGAAUAAGGAGGAAAGCCUCCUCAACGACUCCUCUACACUCCUAUAACCCCG
Molecule: long non-coding RNA, 251 nt
Filed under: Elaeis guineensis (African oil palm)
Lineage: Eukaryota; Viridiplantae; Streptophyta; Magnoliopsida; Arecales; Arecaceae
Description: long non-coding RNA (EGUI_LNC081864)
Source: RNAcentral